AGCGAACGCUGGCGGCAGGCUUAACACAUGCAAGUCGAACGGACCCUUCGGGGGUUAGUGGCGGACGGGUGAGUAACACGUGGGAAUGUGCCUUUAGGUUCGGAACAACACAGGGAAACUUGUGCUAAUACCGAAUGUGCCCUUCGGGGAAAGGAUUUAUUUGCCUUUAGUAGCAGCCCGCCGUCUGAUUAGCUUGUUGGUGAGGUAAAGGCUCACCAAGGCGACGAUCAGUAGCUGGUCUGAGAGGAUAGCCA
This 254-nucleotide ribosomal RNA is filed under the name uncultured bacterium. Its description in RNAcentral is "partial 16S ribosomal RNA". It matches the Rfam family "Bacterial small subunit ribosomal RNA", at positions 29 to 306 of the family's 1533-position model. The record is from RNAcentral.